UACGGAGGGUGCAAGCGUUGCUCGGAAUUAUUGGGCGUAAAGGGUAGGUAGGUGGUCUCAUUUGUCUGGGGUGAAAGCCUUGAGCUUAACUCAAGAAGUGCCCCAGAAACGGUGAGACUGGAGUCCUGGAGAGGGUCGUGGAAUUCCCGGUGUAGCGGUGAAAUGCGUAGAGAUCGGGAGGAACACCAGAGGCGAAAGCGGCGACCUGGACAGGCACUGACACUCAACUACGAAAGCGUGGGGAGCAAACAGG
RNAcentral lists this ribosomal RNA (253 nucleotides) under uncultured bacterium. RNAcentral's name for it is "partial 16S ribosomal RNA". It matches the Rfam family "Bacterial small subunit ribosomal RNA", at positions 524 to 776 of the family's 1533-position model. The record is from RNAcentral.